UGCGUAGGCGGCCCGGGAAGUUGGGUGUGAAAGCCCUCGGCUUAACCGAGGAAUGGCGCCCAAAACUGCCGGGCUUGAGGGAGAUAUAGGUGAGCGGAACUUAGGGUGGAGCGGUGAAAUGCGUUGAGAUCCUAAGGAACACCAGUAGCGAAAGCGGCUCACUGGGUCUCUACUGACGCUGAUGCACGAAAGCUAGGGGAGCGAAGAGGAUUAGAUACCCUCGUAGUCCUAGCUGUAAACAAUGAGCACUGGUUUGGAGGGUCCUCCAUAGCCUUCCAGACGUAGCGAAAGUGUUAAGUGCUCCGCCGUGGGGAUAGUGGUCGCGAAGGCUAGAA
This 335-nucleotide ribosomal RNA is filed under the name uncultured bacterium. Its description in RNAcentral is "bacterial SSU rRNA". It matches the Rfam family "Bacterial small subunit ribosomal RNA", at positions 568 to 899 of the family's 1533-position model. The record is from RNAcentral.